GGAGGCGCCAGCCGAUUGGUGCCGGCCGCGGUCCCGAAAACCGUUGGGGCGAAAGCCCGUGAGCGUUCGACUCGCUCCGUCUCCG
Molecule: transfer RNA, 85 nt
Filed under: Paractinoplanes pyxinae
Lineage: Bacteria; Bacillati; Actinomycetota; Actinomycetes; Micromonosporales; Micromonosporaceae
Description: tRNA-Ser
Source: RNAcentral